CCUACGGGAGGCAGCAGUGAGGAAUAUUGGUCAAUGGACGAGAGUCUGAACCAGCCAAGUAGCGUGAAGGAUGACUGCCCUAUGGGUUGUAAACUUCUUUUAUAUGGGAAUAAAACGUUCCACGUGUGGGAUUUUGUAUGUACCAUAUGAAUAAGGGUCGGCUAACUCCGUGCCAGCAGCCGCGGUAAUACGGAGGAUCCGAGCGUUAUCCGGAUUUAUUGGGUUUAAAGGGAGCGUAGGUGGAUUGUUAAGUCAGUUGUGAAAGUUUGCGGCUCAACCGUAAAAUUGCAGUUGAAACUGGCAGUCUUGAGUACAGUAGAGGUGGGCGGAAUUCGUGGUGUAGCGGUGAAAUGCUUAGAUAUCACGAAGAACUCCGAUUGCGAAGGCAGUUCACUGGACUGCAACUGACACUGAGGCUCGAAAGUGUGGGUAUCAAACAGGAUUAGAUACCCGAGUAGUC
This 460-nucleotide ribosomal RNA is filed under the name uncultured bacterium. Its description in RNAcentral is "partial 16S ribosomal RNA". It matches the Rfam family "Bacterial small subunit ribosomal RNA", at positions 338 to 795 of the family's 1533-position model. The record is from RNAcentral.